UGAAAACAGACUUUCCUGGAUGUGACUGUGACAACGCCCCCUCAGGGUUGGGUGUGAAUCCUAUGCUGUCUGACUUGCUGAGUUCCGUCCAGCAUUUUGUUCAAAAUGCAGAUUGGCACAUCGACAAAGAGUGUCACCACAAGGAAGCAGCAGCCACCAUCCAGGCCACGCUCUCUUCUUUCUGCUGCCAUUGGGAAGGAGAUGCUGGGGCCUCAGGUCCCACGCUACCAGUUUCAGGAGCAGUUAUUACCCUUCAACCAUCAGGCUCCUGAACCAGCGUGGGCAUCUUCAAUCAGCACAGCACUGAAUAUAACCCCAUGGACUCACUUUCAAGUACUCUACAACUCUUGUUCUCAGAUUGAUUGAUUGAUUUGUUGGUUUAUUGAUCGAUUGAUUGAUUGAUUAUUACUACAUGCUUCUUUUUGAAUUUGCACAAUUUAUCAGUCAUUGAGACCUGAUGAAGGGUCUCGGCCUGAAACAUCAACUGUUUAUUCCUUUCCAUAGGUGCUGCUUGACCUGCUGAGUUCCUCCAACAUUUUGUAUGUGCUGUCAUUCUUUAUUUGUGUGCAGUUUUUCAUUGAUUCUAUUGUAAAUGCCUGCAAGAAAAUGAUUGUCGGGGUAGUAUUUGGUGACACAUACUUUAAUUAACUUCGAACUCUUUUUUGCACUACGCAUUAUUAUUUAUAUUUCUUAUUGUAAUUUGCAGUAAUAUUUUACGUAUUGCAUUGUACUGCUGCCACAGAACAACAAAAUUUAUGGCAUAUGUUAGCAAUCAUAAUCCUGAUCCUAAUUCUGCAAAUUGAGCAUAAACAGAAAUUGAUUUAUCAAUGAGCAAAUCUGAUGAGCUGAUCCAUAAUUUCUGACACUUGGGAAAGAGGAACGAUCAAUAUUUGAUCAUGAAGGCAUUGGGAAGUAUCUUUUGAAGAAAUACAUCACUGAUAGGUUGGUUUACUGUUGUCACACAUGCUAAAGUACAGUGAAAAACUUCGGUAUACAUGCCAUCCACACAGAAGUUUGAUUACAACAGUGCAUUGAGGAAGCACUGGGGAAAACAAUAACAGAAUGCAAAUUGAAGUGUGUUAUAGUUACAGGAAAAGUGCAGGCAGACAAUAAGAUUGAGGUUAUAGCGAGGUGAUUUGUAAGGUUAGGAGUCUGCCGAAUCAUACCAGGGGAUCAUUCAAUAGUCUUAAAGCAGCGGAGUAGAAGUUGUCCUUGAGUCUGGUGGUGCAUGCCUUCAGGUUUUUAUAUCUUUGGCUUGAUGGGGUAGUGGGGGAGGAAGAGAGAAUCUCCAGGUUGGGUGGGGUCUUUGAUUAUGCUGACUGCUUUACUGAGGCAGCGAGGAGUGUAAACAGAGCCCAUGGAGGAGAGGCUGGUUUCUGUGAUGUGCUGAACCGUGUCCACAACUCUCCGCGAUUCCUUGCAGUCAUGGGCAGAGCUGCGGUUCCCCUAAACUAUGAUGCAUCUGCAGUGGAUACCAUAGGGGAACAAUGGGCAUCUGUUCCAUGCCAUACAACAGAUGCCACGUUUCCCUUUGGUAUCGAUGGUCCACGGUACCUGUAAUAUCUCUUCCAACGGAAAGUCGGGAUAUCAGAGCAGAUCCUUCCAGCAACACUGCAGUUUGAAAGAUAAAGUAUCUCAAAGUUUGCCAGGUUUCAACCGAUCUCCUCACUGCAGGGGUCAGACCUGCUUUUUUCCUUCACUGCUAUGAUACUGUCAGAAUCAGAAUCCGCUUUACCAUCACUGGGAUAUGCUGCAAAAUGUGUUGCUCUAUGGCAGCAACACAGUGCAAUAUAAAAUAAUUAAGAACUAUAAAUUACAGCAAGUAUAUAUUACAAAAAGAAAAUUAAAAUAUGCCACCAUAUGCAACCCAGAGAUUUAUUUUCUUGCAGGCAUGCUCAGUAAAUCCAUAAUAGAACCAAUGAAAGACCACUCCAAUAUGUGUUCAAUCUGUGUAAAAAUAGACAACAAACUGUGCAAAUACAAAAAGAAAUAAAUAAUAAUAAUAAUAAUAAAUAAAUAAGCAAUAAGUAUCAAAAACAUGAGACGAAGAGUACUUGACAGUGACUCCAUAGGUUGUGGGAUUAUUUCAAUGAUGGGGCAAGUGAAGUUAAGUGAAGUUAUCCCCUUUGGUUCAAGAGCCUGAUGGUUGAGGGGGGAUAACUGUUCCUGAACCUGGUGAGUCCUGAGACUCCUGUACCUUCUUUCUGAUGCCUUCUGUGAGAAGAGGGCAUGUCCUGAGUGGCAUCUUCACGUAGAGUGCUCAAUGGUGGGGAGUGCUUUCCCCCAGAUGGACUGAGCCGUAUCCACUACUUUUUGCAGAAUUUUCCCUGAUGGUGGCAAAGUGAAGUGGGCGCGUCCUGGGUGAUAGGGGUCCUCAAUGACGGAUGCCACCUUUUCUGAGGCAUCACCUUUUGAAGGUGUCCUCGAUGCUGGGGAGGCCAGUGCCCCUGAUGGAGCUGGCUGAGUUUACAUCUUUCUGCAGUGGCCCCUCCAUUCCAGACAGUGAUGCAACCAGUCAGAUUGCUUUCCACGGUACAUCCGUAGAAAUUGAUCAGAGAGACCGACGAAUGGGUCACAAAAAAUGGAGAGUGGCCUAACCCAAAGUCCGAGCCGCAGAGACAACUUAAUUGUGAGGGAUAACUUUAAUAACAAACAGCCAAAGAGCGAGCCAUGAAGAGUCAUAGAACAAGAGAGAUAGGAUACUAUACACAACAAGGCAACAAGGUUAGGGGCAACUUGUUGAGGCUGGCUGGUUUGAUGAGUGAACAAGGAUUGGGAAUGAGAGCUAGGUUUAAAUAGGCUGCAGGUGAUGCGUUAGAAACGACUGACAGGUGAUUCCUAUUAGAUGGAUGGCAACUGGGAGAAGCCUGACAUAAUGUCAGUGAUAUGGAGGUUUUGGACAAGUUGGUUCCUUCUAAUCAGUGCAGAGAGACUGAGUGAAGGUUUAUUGAGAGUCAUAGCGAAACAGGCCCAUCAGCCCUCUGAGACAAUGCUGACCAUCAAUCAUCCCUUUACACUGAUAUUCUGUUAAUCACACUCCUUAAUGGUGAGUGAGUUGUGGGCAUGCUAUGUUGGCAUCAGAAGAAGCAUGGCCUAUAAAAGUGGCAAGGAAAAAAAAUAAGUUCUGACUUUUAAAAGCAAAUUUGAAAAUAUGCAAAUAGGAGAGACCUGCAGGGUCAUGGGCCCCAAGUCUGCGAAUCUCUGCAAAAACAUUGGGGAAGCUGGUGCCCAGUGUCUGAGACUCCAUGCAUCCACUGGGGGCUGGAGGCUGAAGAUGGCCUGUCCUGGGGUUGGAGGAGUGUGUGGAUGGAAAGGAGGGAGUAACGGGGUUUGUUUUGCUGUUGGUGCUUGGGAUGUUCUCUGUUGUUCUGCCGAACAUUGUGGACAAGCUAUGUUGACACCAGAAUAUGUGGCCACACUUACAGGCUGCCCCCAGCAUAUCCUUGGGUGUAUUGGUUGUUAAUGCACAUGACACGUUUCACUGUAUGUUUUGAUGGGCAUGUGAUGAAUAAACCUGAAUCUGAAUCUCAGUGAGAAGAGAGUGGGACUGAUUGAUUAUUUGGUAAGUAUAUAAUAAGCCAAAGAAUCUCUUUCUGAAGGAUGAGGAACAGCUUCUUCCCCCAGGCCGUGAGACCACUGAACUCCCUGCCACUGCCCAGGUCUCAUCACGUAUGAAGCACCAGUAGCAUUUU
This is a long non-coding RNA of Hypanus sabinus (Atlantic stingray), 3692 nucleotides long. RefSeq lists it as uncharacterized. The transcript has 3 exons. The record is from RefSeq and is a predicted model, not a curated record. NCBI's taxonomy places the organism in Eukaryota, Metazoa, Chordata, Chondrichthyes, Myliobatiformes, Dasyatidae.